Molecule: ribosomal RNA, 460 nt
Filed under: uncultured bacterium
Lineage: Bacteria
Description: partial 16S ribosomal RNA
Rfam family: Bacterial small subunit ribosomal RNA
Source: RNAcentral
CCUACGGGGGGCAGCAGUGAGGAAUAUUGGUCAAUGGACGAGAGUCUGAACCAGCCAAGUAGCGUGAAGGAUGACUGCCCUAUGGGUUGUAAACUUCUUUUAUAAAGGAAUAAAACGAGGCACGUGUGCCUUUUUGCAUGUACUUUAUGAAUAAGGAUCGGCUAACUCCGUGCCAGCAGCCGCGGUAAUACGGAUGAUCCGAGCGUUAGCCGGUUUGAUUGGGUUUAAAGGGAGCGGAGAUGGGUUGUUAAGUCAGUUGUGAAAGUUUGCGGCGCAACCGUAAAAUUGCAAUUGAUACUGGCAGUCGUGAGUACAGUUGAGGUAGGCGGAAUUCGUGGUGUAGCGGUGAAAUGCUUAGAUAGCACGAAGAACCCCGAGUGCGAAGGCAGCUUACUAAACUGUGACUGACAUUGAUGCUCGAAAGUGUGGGUAUCAAACAGGAUUAGAUACCCCUGUAGUC